CAGCCGCCGCGGUAAUACGAAGGGGGCUAGCGUUGCUCGGAAUGACUGGGCGUAAAGGGCGCGUAGGCGGUUUAUACAGUCAGAUGUGAAAUUCCCGGGCUCAACCUGGGGACUGCAUUUGAUACGUAUGGACUUGAGUGGAGAAGAGGGUCGUGGAAUUUCCAGUGUAGAGGUGAAAUUCGUAGAUAUUGGAAAGAACACCGGUGGCGAAGGCGGCGACCUGGUCUUUAACUGACGCUGAGGCGCGAAAGCGUGGGGAGUAAACAGGAUUAGAUACCCCCGUAGUCCCUGUCUCUUAUAC
Molecule: ribosomal RNA, 301 nt
Filed under: uncultured bacterium
Lineage: Bacteria
Description: partial 16S ribosomal RNA
Rfam family: Bacterial small subunit ribosomal RNA
Source: RNAcentral